RNAcentral lists this ribosomal RNA (209 nucleotides) under uncultured bacterium. RNAcentral describes it as "partial 16S ribosomal RNA". It matches the Rfam family "Bacterial small subunit ribosomal RNA", at positions 568 to 773 of the family's 1533-position model. The record is from RNAcentral.
CUCGUAGGCGGCCAACUAAGUCAGACGUGAAAUCCCCAGGCUCAACCUGGGAACUGCGUCUGAUACUGGAUGGCUUGAAUCCGGGAGAGGGAUGCAGAAUUCCAGGUGUAGCGGUGAAAUGCGUAGAUAUCUGGAGGAAUACCGGUGGCGAAGGCGGCAUCCUGGACCGGCAUUGACGCUGAGGAGCGAAAGCCGAGGGGAGACGAAAC